Molecule: ribosomal RNA, 429 nt
Filed under: Chloroflexota bacterium
Lineage: Bacteria; Bacillati; Chloroflexota
Description: Chloroflexi bacterium partial 16S ribosomal RNA
Rfam family: Bacterial small subunit ribosomal RNA
Source: RNAcentral
UGGGGAAUAUUGCACAAUGGGCGCAAGCCUGAUGCAGCCAUGCCGCGUGUAUGAAGAAGGCCUUCGGGUUGUAAAGUACUUUCAGUCGGGAGGAAGGUGUCAAGGUUAAUAACCUUGGCAAUUGACGUUACCGACAGAAGAAGCACCGGCUAACUCCGUGCCAGCAGCCGCGGUAAUACGGAGGGUGCAAGCGUUAAUCGGAAUUACUGGGCGUAAAGCGCACGCAGGCGGUUGAUUGAGUCAGAUGUGAAAUCCCCGGGCUUAACCCGGGAAGUGCAUCUGAUACUGGUCAGCUAGAGUCGUGUAGAGGGGGGUAGAAUUCCAUGUGUAGCGGUGAAAUGCGUAGAGAUGUGGAGGAAUACCGGUGGCGAAGGCGGCCCCCUGGACAAAGACUGACGCUCAGGUGCGAAAGCGUGGGGAGCAAACAGG